Molecule: ribosomal RNA, 2045 nt
Filed under: Pteria penguin
Lineage: Eukaryota; Metazoa; Mollusca; Bivalvia; Pterioida; Pteriidae
Description: bacterial LSU rRNA
Rfam family: Bacterial large subunit ribosomal RNA
Source: RNAcentral
AGCGGAUGACCUGUGGAUCGGAGUGAAAGGCUAAUCAAGCUCGGAGAUAGCUGGUUCUCCUCGAAAGCUAUUUAGGUAGCGCCUCAUGUAUCACUGUAGGGGGUAGAGCACUGUUUCGGCUAGGGGGUCAUCCCGACUUACCAAACCGAUGCAAACUCCGAAUACCUACAAGUGCCGAGCAUGGGAGACACACGGCGGGUGCUAACGUCCGUCGUGAAAAGGGAAACAACCCAGACCGUCAGCUAAGGUCCCAAAGUCAUGGUUAAGUGGGAAACGAUGUGGGAAGGCAUAGACAGCUAGGAGGUUGGCUUAGAAGCAGCCAUCCUUUAAAGAAAGCGUAAUAGCUCACUAGUCGAGUCGGCCUGCGCGGAAGAUGUAACGGGGCUAAAACUAUAUGCCGAAGCUGCGGAUUUGCAAUUUAUUGCAAGUGGUAGGGGAGCGUUCUGUAAGCCGAUGAAGGUGUAUUGAGAAGUAUGCUGGAGGUAUCAGAAGUGCGAAUGCUGACGUGAGUAACGACAAUGCGAGUGAAAAACUCGCACGCUGAAAGACCAAGGGUUCCAGUCCAACGUUAAUCGGGGCUGGGUGAGUCGACCCCUAAGGCGAGGCCGAGAGGCGUAGUCGAUGGGAAAUUGGUUAAUAUUCCAAUACUUCUAUGUAAUGCGAUGAGAGGACGGAGAAGGUUAAGUCAGCCUGGCGUUGGUUGUCCAGGUGGAAGGUUGUAGGCAUGUAUCUUAGGCAAAUCCGGGGUACUGUAUGCUGAGAACUGAUAGCAAGCUGUACUUGUACAGUGAAGUGGCUGAUACCAUGCUUCCAGGAAAAGUCUCUAAGCUUCAGUUACAUAGGAAUCGUACCCGAAACCGACACAGGUGGUCAGGUCGAGUAGACCAAAGCGCUUGAGAGAACUCUGCUGAAGGAACUAGGCAAAAUGGUACCGUAACUUCGGGAGAAGGUACGCUGCCGACGGUGAUAGGAUUUACUCCUUGAGCUAUUGGCAGCCACAGAAACCAGGCCCCUGCAACUGUUUAUUAAAAACAUAGCACUCUGCAAACACGAAAGUGGACGUAUAGGGUGUGAUGCCUGCCCGGUGCUGGAAGGUUAAUUGAUGGGGUUAGCGUAAGCGAAGCUCUUGAUCGAAGCCCCAGUAAACGGCGGCCGUAACAAUAACGGUCCUAAGGUAGCGAAAUUCCUUGUCGGGUAAGUUCCGACCCGCACGAAUGGUGUAACGAUCUGAGCGCUGUCUCAACGUAAAACUCGGUGAAAUUGUAAUACCGGUGAAGAUACCGGUUACCAGUGGCGGGACGAAAAGACCCCGUGAACCUUUACUGCAGCUUGAUAUUGAAAUUUGGCUUACUAUGUGUAGGAUAGGUGGGAGACUUUGAAGCAGAGUCGUCAGAUUCUGUGGAGUCAUUAGUGAAAUACCACCCUUAUUAAUUUAAAUUUCUCACAAAUACCUUGAAUCAGGUAUUUGGACAAUGUCAGGUAGGCGGUUUGACUGGGGCGGUCGCCUCCCAAACAGUAACGGAGGCGCGCGAAGGUUUUCUUACGGUGGAUGGAAAUCACCGUGUAAGUGUAAAGGCAUAAGAAAGCUUGACUGCAAGACCUACAAGUCGAGCAGGUACGAAAGUAGGCCUUAGUGAUCUGGCGGUGGCGCGUGGAAGCGCCGUCACUUAACGGACAAAAGGUACUCCGGGGAUAACAGGCUAAUACUUCCCAAGAGUUCACAUCGACGGAAGUGUUUGGCACCUCGAUGUCGGUUCAUCGCAUCCUGGGGCUGUAGCAGGUCCCAAUGGUUUGGCUGUUCGCCAAUUAAAGCGGUACGCGAACUGGGUUCAGAACGUCGCGAGACAGUUCGGUUUCUAUCUGCCACUGGCAUUGGAUGAUUGCAGGGAGCAAUUUUUAGUACGAGAGGACCAAAAUUGACAAACCUCUAGUGUACCAGUUAUCGUGCCAACGGUAAGCGCUGGGUAGCUAUGUUUGGAAAGGAUAACCGCUGAAAGCAUCUAAGUGGGAAGCCCUCUUCAAGAUUAAUCAUCCCUGAGUCUUCG